This 174-nucleotide ribosomal RNA is filed under the name uncultured bacterium. Its description in RNAcentral is "partial 16S ribosomal RNA". It matches the Rfam family "Bacterial small subunit ribosomal RNA", at positions 338 to 524 of the family's 1533-position model. The record is from RNAcentral.
CCUACGGGAGGCAGCAGUGGGGAAUCUUGCACAAUGGGCGGAAGCCUGAUGCAGCGACGCCGCGUGAGGGAUGACGGCCUUCGGGUUGUAAACCUCUUUCAGCAGGGACGAAGCGCAAGUGACGGUGCCUGCAGAAGAAGGGCCGGCCAACUACGUGCCAGCAGCCGCGGUAAU